Molecule: transfer RNA, 71 nt
Filed under: Sphaerodactylus townsendi
Lineage: Eukaryota; Metazoa; Chordata; Lepidosauria; Squamata; Sphaerodactylidae
Description: tRNA-Ala
Source: RNAcentral
GGACUCUGGCUCAGCCGUAGAACAUCUGUUUGGCAGUUAGACAGUCCCAAGUUCAAUCCUUGGCAUCGCCA